This 465-nucleotide ribosomal RNA is filed under the name uncultured bacterium. Its description in RNAcentral is "partial 16S ribosomal RNA". It matches the Rfam family "Bacterial small subunit ribosomal RNA", at positions 28 to 507 of the family's 1533-position model. The record is from RNAcentral.
GACGAACGCUGGCGGCGUGCUUAACACAUGCAAGUCGAACGGAAAGGCCCUGCUUGCAGGGUACUCGAGUGGCGAACGGGUGAGUAACACGUGGGUGAUCUGCCCUGCACUUCGGGAUAAGCCUGGGAAACUGGGUCUAAUACCGGAUAGGAGCCAUUUUUAGUGUGAUGGUUGGAAAGUUUUUUCGGUGUAGGAUGAGCUCGCGGCCUAUCAGCUUGUUGGUGGGGUAAUGGCCUACCAAGGCGGCGACGGGUAGCCGGCCUGAGAGGGUGGACGGCCACAUUGGGACUGAGAUACGGCCCAGACUCCGACGGGAGGCAGCAGGGGGGAAUAUUGCACAAGGGGCGCAAGCCUGAUGCAGCGACGCCGCGUGGGGGAUGACGGCCUUCGGGUUGGAAACUCCUUUCGCUAGGGACGAAGCUUUUUGUGACGGUACCUAGAUAAGAAGCACCGGCUAACUACGUG